UUGAAUCCAAAGGAUGUUGCUGGUACUUGUAAAAAAAGUGCAUGUGCACUCCACCUUUCAAACCCACCUGUGCACUCAUUGUAGGCUCAGAUUAAGUUCCGAGUCUAUGCUUUUUCAUACACACUUAUAUAAAAUUUAUGGAAUGUCCUUGGGCUUUCAUUGCCUAAAAAAAUUAAUA
This 178-nucleotide unclassified non-coding RNA is filed under the name uncultured Clavariaceae. Its description in RNAcentral is "sequence contains ITS1". The record is from RNAcentral. Lineage: Eukaryota; Fungi; Basidiomycota; Agaricomycetes; Agaricales; Clavariaceae.